GAUGAACGCUGGCGGCGUGCCUAAUACAUGCAAGUCGAGCGAACAGACGAGGAGCUUGCUCCUCUGACGUUAGCGGCGGACGGGUGAGUAACACGUGGAUAACCUACCUAUAAGACUGGGAUAACUUCGGGAAACCGGAGCUAAUACCAGAUAAUAUAUUGAACCGCAUGGUUCAAUAGUGAAAGACGGUUUUGCUGUCACUUAUAGAUGGAUCCGCGCCGCAUUAGCUAGUUGGUAAGGUAACGGCUUACCAAGGCAACGAUGCGUAGCCGACCUGAGAGGGUGAUCGGCCACACUGGAACUGAGACACGGUCCAGACUCCUACGGGAGGCAGCAGUAGGGAAUCUUCCGCAAUGGGCGAAAGCCUGACGGAGCAACGCCGCGUGAGUGAUGAAGGUCUUCGGAUCGUAAAACUCUGUUAUUAGGGAAGAACAAAUGCGUAAGUAACUAUGCACGUCUUGACGGUACCCAAUCAGAAAGCCACGGCUAACUACGUG
RNAcentral lists this ribosomal RNA (497 nucleotides) under uncultured bacterium. Its description in RNAcentral is "partial 16S ribosomal RNA". It matches the Rfam family "Bacterial small subunit ribosomal RNA", at positions 28 to 507 of the family's 1533-position model. The record is from RNAcentral.